AGUUAGAUAUAAAUGUGAGCGUUGAACGUUCUUAGAAACAGAUGUACUGGUAGACACUUGUAAGGUAACUUCAGUCUUUAUCGAAGUAGUACUUUUGUUCAUUUACCGAAAGCACUUGGAAAAUUGACGAUAGUGAAAAUAAAAAAAUUUCCGACCAAAAAAAUAAACAAAGUGUGAAAGAGAAUAAGAUUAAAAAGAAAAAAACAUCAAAGUUAAUACGAUAAUUCGAAGUUGCCGUUGUUCGAAAGGUGUCAAAGAAGAAACGAAAAUAAGUGCAAGCUAAAAAUAAAAUUCAUUUUCAAAGGCAGCAGACAUUCCUUCCCAUUUCAGUUUUUCCUAUUGAAGAAUUAUAUUUCCGAUUUUUUAUUCCCUCCCACGCAUACCACUUUGAAACUUCUUAUUUUCGAUUUUCAAUUGCACGUAUCGCUAUUUGUUUUUUUUUUCCUGUACAAAUAUGAAAUACCUAUCCGUGAGACUGAUUGCAACCAUCCUAAUUUCUUUCCUCUUCUUCAUGAAUCUUCAUCAUCCUGCAUUAUCUCGGAUUAUUAGACCCGAAACAACAACAACAACAGAAAUCUCAACGUCUACGGAGAAACUGAAAGUUGAGGAUUUUAAUUUGAUUCAUGUAUCCGAUAGAAAAUGUCCAAAUGAAGAUGAACGUAGAGACUCAAAUGGUAUAUGUAGACUUGUCAUUAAACCUUAAAUUAUUAUUAA
Molecule: long non-coding RNA, 714 nt
Filed under: Polistes fuscatus (common paper wasp)
Lineage: Eukaryota; Metazoa; Arthropoda; Insecta; Hymenoptera; Vespidae
Description: uncharacterized LOC122514954
Source: RNAcentral